Carassius gibelio (silver crucian carp) is the source of this 276-nucleotide long non-coding RNA. RefSeq lists it as uncharacterized. The record is from RefSeq and is a predicted model, not a curated record. NCBI's taxonomy places the organism in Eukaryota, Metazoa, Chordata, Actinopteri, Cypriniformes, Cyprinidae. The transcript has 2 exons.
AAAUGUGGCGGGCAGCAAUAAAAAGUCAUGAAGACGUCUCUUAGUAUGUAAAGACACCCAGGAGAAACCUGAUGGAGUCAUGGUGAUCUUGAGAGAAGCGGGGACAGCACGCACCUUUGAGGGGCACCAAUACUGAGGGUGCUCACUCUAGAUGUAAAUACCAGCAGUUUGGAACGGCAUGCAUGAAUAAUGAGAGGACUAUUUACUGAAGUACUCCUCAAGCACUAUUGCCCAUUGUGGGAAUUAAAGUUUUCUUUACUACAUAACUUCCUGUGC